GCGAGUCAUUUGUAACGUUACGUACAGAGGAUUCUGGUGUUGUGAUCUUUCACUUUUGCCCUGCAUUUAAUACCGAAGAUCAUUCAGCCAUGGUGAAACCAGAUGGAGGAAAUUCUCUCCUGCAUGACAUGAAGGCCAAUGACGAUAAUAAUCCUUCCUCUGGCAAUGCGAAUGGGCUUGGCAGUGCCCAAAACGUCUCUGUGUCUGCUGAGGUGGUGCCAGCUGCCGUUGUGGGAGAUUGAAUUCAGCCCGGGGAAGAGGGAGAAUCAUUGCUGGUUGUGGCUGCAAAACAACGAAGGGCAAAAGGAGAAGGACGGGAACAUCCAGCCAAGUAGGUCUAUACUCCAGCCAAAGCCCGUUGAUCUUGGACUGCGUACUGUGCAUCGUGCUCUGGCAGUUUUUCAAGCAUCUACAGAGAAAGCUUACAGGGCCAAGUUUUUAGAAUGUGUCUGGACUUACAGCUUCAGUAUUGGAUUUGCUUUUGUGAAGAAGAGGCUGCCUUUAAGGCUGAUCUGGAAAAUACAUAUUCAAGGAGCAUACUUGCUAAAUGCUUCAGCUUUUCUCUUUGUUUCCAAGACCAGAAGGUUGUACAUAAAACACACUCCAGUAUUCAUGACUAAAACUUCAGUUCUUUUUUAAACGGUGAUACUUCUGAACUCAAGAUCAACCUGUUGUAAACAGAAAUAAGAUCAAUCUGAACUCCCAUUUGUUUGCUUGACUGAGGCAACUUUGACAGCAAAAUAAAAUGUAGAAGAAGAAAAUUGAGCUGCCUUCA
This 775-nucleotide long non-coding RNA is filed under the name Anser brachyrhynchus (Pink-footed goose). Its description in RNAcentral is "lncRNA (ENSABRG00000021852.1)". The record is from RNAcentral. Lineage: Eukaryota; Metazoa; Chordata; Aves; Anseriformes; Anatidae.